Molecule: ribosomal RNA, 807 nt
Filed under: Triticum aestivum (bread wheat)
Lineage: Eukaryota; Viridiplantae; Streptophyta; Magnoliopsida; Poales; Poaceae
Description: partial small subunit ribosomal RNA
Source: RNAcentral
AUGUCGGAGAUGCUCGCGGCGGUGCGGCGCUUCAACGAGGAGCCCUCGGAGGCUAGGGCGCCGUACUACAGCCGGGACCACGGCCGGCGCGUCAGGUACACGAGCAACUUCGACCUGUUCCAAUCGCCGGCCGCCAACUGGCGCGACAGCGUGUACAUCGACAUGACGCCAGACCCGCCGGCGCCCGAGGAGAUCCCGCCGACCCUCCGGAGCGUCGUGCCGGAGUAUGAGCGGCUGGCGCAGCAGCUGUACCGCGAGCUGCUAGAACUGCUGUCGGAGGCCCUGGGACUGCGCCGCGGGCACCUGAAGAAGGACGCCGGGUGCCUCGACGGGCUCAACCUCGCCGCCCACUACUACCCGGCGUGCCCGGAGCCGCACCUGACCAUGGGCACCACCCGGCACUCCGACCCCAGCUUCCUCACCGUGCUGCUCCAGGACGCCGUCGGCGGCCUCCAGGUGCUCGUGGAGGAUGACGGCGGCUCCUCUGAGUGGGUGGAGGUGCCGGCGGUGCCGGGGGCACUGGUGGUGAACAUCGGCGACUACCUGCAGCUCGUGUCCAACGACAUGUUCAAGAGUUUGGAGCACCGCGUGGUGGCCAACGGCGUGGGACCCCGCGUGUCGGUGGCAUGCUUCUUCAGGACGCACGGCGCCGCCGCGUCCACGAGGGUGCUGCAGCCGAUCGUCGCCGGCGGAGACCGCGCGAGGUACAAGAGCGCGACCGUGGAGGAGCUGCUCCGGCACUACAGGGCCAAGGGCCUGGACGGCACCUCCGCGUUGGACCACUUCAGGCUCCGAACGGAGCGCUGA